AUUGCCGAGUUCUAGAUAUGAAGACAAUCAAGAAAAAGAUCUGGUUUUCUUGAUUGUCUUCAUAUCUAGAACUGGGCA
Molecule: microRNA precursor, 78 nt
Organism: Cercocebus atys (sooty mangabey)
Lineage: Eukaryota; Metazoa; Chordata; Mammalia; Primates; Cercopithecidae
Source: Ensembl